GACGAACGCUGGCGGCGUGCUUAACACAUGCAAGUCGAACGGGAUUUAGUAGACAGAAGCCUCGGCUAAAGAUUACUAAUGAGAGUGGCGAACGGGUGAGUAACGCGUGAGCAACCUGCCUAUGACAGUGGGAUAGCCUCGGGAAACCGGGAUUAAUACCGCAUAAAAUCGUAGAAACACAUGUUUUAACGGUCAAAGAUUUAUCGGUCAUAGAUGGGCUCGCGUCUGAUUAGCUAGUUGGUGAGAUAACAGCCCACCAAGGCGACGAUCAGUAGCCGGUCUGAGAGGAUGAACGGCCACAUUGGAACUGAGACACGGUCCAACUCCUACGGGAGGCAGCAGUGGGGAAUAUUGCACAAUGGGGGAAACCCUGAUGCAGCGACGCCGCGUGAACGAAGAAGGUAUUCGUAUCGUAAAGUUCUGUCCUAUGGGAAGAUAAUGACAGUACCAGAGAAGAAAGCUCCGGCUAAAUACGUG
RNAcentral lists this ribosomal RNA (477 nucleotides) under uncultured bacterium. RNAcentral's name for it is "partial 16S ribosomal RNA". It matches the Rfam family "Bacterial small subunit ribosomal RNA", at positions 28 to 507 of the family's 1533-position model. The record is from RNAcentral.